GAGCGCACUCUUUUAGAGUGAGCGGCAAACGGGUGAGUAACGCGUGGGAAUCUACCCAUCUCUACGGAAUAACACAGAGAAAUUUGUAGCUAAUACCGUAUACGUCCUAUAGGGAGAAAGAUUUUAUCGGAGAUGGAUGAGCCCGCGUUUGGAUUAGCUAGUUGGUGAGUAACGGCUCACCAAGGCGACGAUCCAUAGCUGGUCUGAGAGGAUGAUCAGCCACACUGGGACUGAGACACGGCCCAGA
This 247-nucleotide ribosomal RNA is filed under the name uncultured bacterium. RNAcentral's name for it is "partial 16S ribosomal RNA". It matches the Rfam family "Bacterial small subunit ribosomal RNA", at positions 64 to 335 of the family's 1533-position model. The record is from RNAcentral.